Molecule: transfer RNA, 71 nt
Filed under: Sebastolobus alascanus
Lineage: Eukaryota; Metazoa; Chordata; Actinopteri; Perciformes; Sebastidae
Description: tRNA-Trp
Rfam family: tRNA
About the family: Transfer RNA (tRNA) molecules are approximately 80 nucleotides in length.
Source: RNAcentral
AGGGGCUUAGGUUAGAACGAGACCAAGGGCCUUCAAAGCCCUAAGCGGGUGUGGAAGUCCCCCAGCCCCUG